GGCUCAGAUUGAACGCUGGCGGCAUGCCUUACACAUGCAAGUCGAACGGCAGCACGGGUGCUUGCACCUGGUGGCGAGUGGCGAACGGGUGAGUAAUAUAUCGGAACGUACCUUGUAGUGGGGGAUAGCUCGGCGAAAGCCGGAUUAAUACCGCAUACGCUCUGAGGAGGAAAGCGGGGGACCUUCGGGCCUCGCGCUACAAGAGCGGCCGAUAUCAGAUUAGCUAGUUGGUGGGGUAAAAGCUUACCAAGGCGACGAUCUGUAGCUGGUCUGAGAGGACGACCAGCCACACUGGGACUGAGACACGGCCCAGACUCCUACGGGAGGCAGCAGUGGGGAAUUUUGGACAAUGGGCGAAAGCCUGAUCCAGCAAUGCCGCGUGUGUGAAGAAGGCCUUCGGGUUGUAAAGCACUUUUGUCCGGAAAGAAAUCCUCUGGGUUAAUACCUCGGGGGGAUGACGGUAC
This 464-nucleotide ribosomal RNA is filed under the name Pandoraea sputorum. Its description in RNAcentral is "bacterial SSU rRNA". It matches the Rfam family "Bacterial small subunit ribosomal RNA", at positions 21 to 478 of the family's 1533-position model. The record is from RNAcentral. Lineage: Bacteria; Pseudomonadati; Pseudomonadota; Betaproteobacteria; Burkholderiales; Burkholderiaceae.